Myotis brandtii (Brandt's bat) is the source of this 349-nucleotide long non-coding RNA. RefSeq lists it as uncharacterized. The record is from RefSeq and is a predicted model, not a curated record. Lineage: Eukaryota; Metazoa; Chordata; Mammalia; Chiroptera; Vespertilionidae. The transcript is spliced from 3 exons.
GGAUCUGCCUCGUGUCCAGGCGAGGAGGGCCAUCCCCAGGAUCGAGCUGACCACGGCGCCUCUGUCACCUGUGCCAUCGAGCUGGCCUCUGGCUCCAUGGCAUUUCGGCCGGCCUUCUGGGUGACAACGAGGCUGGCGAUGAGCUGAUGGUGCCAGAUGCACAGUGGCCAGCAGCCUGGAGAUCACCCUCACCUGGCAGGUAGGUGGCGACUGCAGGGCAUGGAGAAGACUCAGCAGGCGUGCCGGGGACAGAGUCCGCCUGCCGGCCUUCUCCCAGGACCCCCACUCAGCCUGGGGAAGUGCUUCCGGUGGGGAGUGCGAGGCUGGGCCUGGACCCUACAGAGGCCAC